Molecule: ribosomal RNA, 253 nt
Filed under: uncultured bacterium
Lineage: Bacteria
Description: partial 16S ribosomal RNA
Rfam family: Bacterial small subunit ribosomal RNA
Source: RNAcentral
UACGAAGGUCCCAAGCGUUGUUCGGAAUCACUGGGCGUAAAGGGAGCGUAGGCGGCGUGGUAAGUCAGAUGUGAAAUCCCGGGGCUCAACCCCGGAACUGCAUCCGAUACUGCCGUGCUUGAGGGUUGGAGAGGUAACUGGAAUUCUCGGUGUAGCAGUGAAAUGCGUGGAUAUCGAGAGGAACACUCGUGGCGAAGGCGAGCUACUGGACAACAUCUGACGCUGAGGCUCGAAGGCUAGGGGAGCAAAAGGG